UUUGAUAACAGACUCAUCUACUCCCAGGAAAUCACAGAAUGAGAGAGAGCCACAAUCUUGUGGGAUUUUCUUCAGAAGCUCCAUCACAUCUCUGCUCUCUGCUUUGGAAGCUGAAAUUUCUCCUUUCACAGAAAUUCUUCAGCAGGAGUCCUGCCUGCAGACUCCUCGCUCAGGAAGCUCCAGGAGCCAUCUGGGACUAGUCUGCAAGGCUCAGCUGAUGUGUUACUGUGUAUCCAGAUGUACUUCAGGACCAAAAAGUGACCCCUGUGUUUGCCCAAAAUCACACCCAUGGACAACAGCAAAGCACCAGCCAAAGUGGGUCAACCCAUCUUAUUUGGGGCUGAAGGUUUCCAUCUCCAGCAGUGUCUUCUGAGCAAUUGAAAACUCCAACCAAGGUUAAUUGGGAUAAAGUGGAGUGUCUGGCUGGACCCAAGCUCUACAGUUUGCAGUCUGGCAACAAAAAGCAACUCUCUCUUUCCCUUGUUAUCACCGAGGCUGAGGUCCUGUGCUGCCUCUGUAGAGUCGCUGCAGCAAAACAUGAAUUAUGGAUGAAAUGAAAAAUCCCAGCCCAGUGCACAGAGG
RNAcentral lists this long non-coding RNA (582 nucleotides) under Manacus vitellinus (golden-collared manakin). RNAcentral's name for it is "lncRNA (ENSMVIG00005004607.1)". Lineage: Eukaryota; Metazoa; Chordata; Aves; Passeriformes; Pipridae. The record is from RNAcentral.